GGUGCCACAGUGGGUUAGGGUAUCUGGAUGUUAACCAGAUGGUUGAUGGUUCGAACCCACCCAGAGAUG
Molecule: non-coding RNA, 69 nt
Organism: Podarcis lilfordi (Lilford's wall lizard)
Lineage: Eukaryota; Metazoa; Chordata; Lepidosauria; Squamata; Lacertidae
Source: the annotation of a GenBank genome assembly